Long non-coding RNA from Zingiber officinale, 306 nucleotides. RefSeq lists it as uncharacterized. The transcript has 4 exons. The record is from RefSeq and is a predicted model, not a curated record. NCBI's taxonomy places the organism in Eukaryota, Viridiplantae, Streptophyta, Magnoliopsida, Zingiberales, Zingiberaceae.
AGGUCUGUGUGUGCUCUUGGAGUUUAUGGACAGGGAGUCAUAAGAGCUGAGAGCUGUUGUACUUCUGCCGGACCUCAAGUAUCUUCCACCUUGCUCCAGCUACGGACUCUAGCAGUGGUUGCUUCAGUUUUGGCUCUUUGAUGGCUCUUGGCACUAUUGACACCAAUCUAUGAGCACAUGGAAGCAUGUAGAUGGUUUGGAGGAUUAAUCAGAGAUCAGAUUUAGUUGGAGUGAUCCUAGUUGGGACUUGGAUAUGGGAUGAUCAUCACGACGUGGGAUUUAUUCUGGACACGGUCGACAAAUUAA